This 252-nucleotide ribosomal RNA is filed under the name uncultured bacterium. Its description in RNAcentral is "partial 16S ribosomal RNA". It matches the Rfam family "Bacterial small subunit ribosomal RNA", at positions 524 to 776 of the family's 1533-position model. The record is from RNAcentral.
UACGUAGGUGGCAAGCGUUGUCCGGAAUUAUUGGGCGUAAAGCGCGCGCAGGUGGGAUCUUAAGUCCAUUUUGAAAGUUCGGAGCUCAACCCCGUGAUGGGAUGGAAACUGGGAUUCUUGAGUAUCGGAGAGGAAAGCGGAAUUCCCCGUGUAGCGGUGAAAUGCGUAGAUAUGGGGAGGAACACCAGUGGCGAAGGCGGCUUUCUGGACGAUGUCUGACACUGAGGCGCGGAAGCCAGGGGAGCGAACGGG